This 741-nucleotide ribosomal RNA is filed under the name uncultured beta proteobacterium. RNAcentral's name for it is "bacterial SSU rRNA". It matches the Rfam family "Bacterial small subunit ribosomal RNA", at positions 36 to 769 of the family's 1533-position model. The record is from RNAcentral. Lineage: Bacteria; Pseudomonadati; Pseudomonadota; Betaproteobacteria.
CUGGCGGCAUGCCUUACACAUGCAAGUCGAACGGCAGCACGGGAGCAAUCCUGGUGGCGAGUGGCGAACGGGUGAGUAAUAUAUCGGAACGUGCCCAGUCGUGGGGGAUAACGUAGCGAAAGCUACGCUAAUACCGCAUACGAUCUACGGAUGAAAGCGGGGGACUCGUAAGGGCCUCGCGCGAUUGGAGCGGCCGAUAUCAGAUUAGGUUGUUGGUGAGGUAAAAGCUCACCAAGCCUGCGAUCUGUAGCUGGUCUGAGAGGACGACCAGCCACACUGGAACUGAGACACGGUCCAGGCUCCUACGGGAGGCAGCAGUGGGGAAUUUUGGACAAUGGACGCAAGUCUGAUCCAGCAAUGCCCGCGUGCAGGACGAAGGCCUUCGGGUUGUAAACUGCUUUUGUACGGAACGAAACGGUCUUCUUUAAUACAGGGGGCUAAUGACGGUACCGUAAGAAUAAGCACCGGCUAACUACGUGCCAGCAGCCGCGGUAAUACGUAGGGUGCGAGCGUUAAUCGGAAUUACUGGGCGUAAAGCGUGCGCAGGCGGUUAUAUAAGUCAGAUGUGAAAUCCCCGGGCUCAACCUGGGACCUGCAUUUGAGACUGUAUAGCUAGAGUACGGUAGAGGGGGAUGGAAUUCCGCGUGUAGCAGUGAAAUGCGUAGAUAUGCGGAGGAACACCGAUGGCGAAGGCAAUCCCCUGGACCUGUACUGACGCUCAUGCACGAAAGCGUGGGGAGC